AACUUUCAACAACGGAUCUCUUGGUUCUGGCAUCGAUGAAGAACGCAGCAAAAUGCGAUAAGUAAUGUGAAUUGCAGAAUUCAGUGAAUCAUCGAAUCUUUGAACGCACAAUGCGCCCGCCAGUAUUCUGGCGGGCAUGCCUGUUCGAGCGUCAUUU
This 157-nucleotide ribosomal RNA is filed under the name Fusarium oxysporum. RNAcentral describes it as "5.8S ribosomal RNA". It matches the Rfam family "5.8S ribosomal RNA". From Rfam's summary of the family: 5.8S ribosomal RNA (5.8S rRNA) is a component of the large subunit of the eukaryotic ribosome. It is transcribed by RNA polymerase I as part of the 45S precursor that also contains 18S and 28S rRNA. Functionally, it is thought that 5.8S rRNA may be involved in ribosome translocation. Lineage: Eukaryota; Fungi; Ascomycota; Sordariomycetes; Hypocreales; Nectriaceae. The record is from RNAcentral.